RNAcentral lists this ribosomal RNA (187 nucleotides) under Enterococcus cecorum. RNAcentral describes it as "partial 16S ribosomal RNA". It matches the Rfam family "Bacterial small subunit ribosomal RNA", at positions 1 to 172 of the family's 1533-position model. Lineage: Bacteria; Bacillati; Bacillota; Bacilli; Lactobacillales; Enterococcaceae. The record is from RNAcentral.
UUUUAUGAGAGUUUGAUCCUGGCUCAGGACGAACGCUGGCGGCGUGCCUAAUACAUGCAAGUCGAACGCAUUUUCUUCCACCGUAGCUUGCUACACCGGAAGAAAAUGAGUGGCGAACGGGUGAGUAACACGUGGGUAACCUGCCCAUCAGCGGGGGAUAACACUUGGAAACAGGUGCUAAUACCGC